CGUAGGGUGCUAAGCGUUGUCCGGAAUUAUUGGGCGUAAAGAGCUCGUAGGUGGUCCGUUACGUCUGCUGUGAAAACUCGGGGCUCAACCCCGAGCCUGCAGUGGAUACGGGCGGACUAGAGUGCGUAGGGGAGACUGGAAUUCCUGGUGUAGCGGUGAAAUGCGCAGAUAUCAGGAGGAACACCGGUGGCGAAGGCGGGUCUCUGGACCGAUACUGACACUGAGGAGCGAAAGCGUGGGGAGCGAACAGGAUUAGAUACCCUGGUAGUCCACGCCGUAAACGUUGGGCGCUAGGUGUGGGGAACUUUCCACGUUCUCCGUGCCGCAGCUAACGCAUUAAGCGCCCCGCCUGGGGAGUACGGCCGCAAGGCUA
This 373-nucleotide ribosomal RNA is filed under the name uncultured organism. RNAcentral's name for it is "bacterial SSU rRNA". It matches the Rfam family "Bacterial small subunit ribosomal RNA", at positions 526 to 896 of the family's 1533-position model. The record is from RNAcentral.